Columba livia (rock pigeon) is the source of this 24554-nucleotide long non-coding RNA. RefSeq lists it as uncharacterized. The record is from RefSeq and is a predicted model, not a curated record. The transcript has 10 exons. NCBI's taxonomy places the organism in Eukaryota, Metazoa, Chordata, Aves, Columbiformes, Columbidae.
UCUCUCUUUAUUUCUACCAAGCUCUGCCUCAAUAUCUUAUAUCCUUUGGAACUCACUGUGCUGGUUGCAUGUCAUUACAUCUGUUUUAUGGUGUUAGUUUUAUCUGUUAAAAAUAUAUUUUUAAAAGCAGGUGUUUAAUUUUCUUUGCAUUUUGCCUCAUAAAAUACUCAUUGCAAAAUGUUUGAAACCCUGUGUCUGUCACCAGUAUUUUCUCCACAUGAAAAGGAGAAUAAUUUGAAUUCCAACGUGACUUCAAAACUUAAGAGUUUUGUUCUGUUUUGUUUUGUUUUUCCCCGAGGGCUUGAAACAGGUAUAAUUUGAAGAGAGUUUCUUUUAAGUACUCAUGUCAAACUGAAUUGUAACUGCAAUUAUUUUUUUUAACAGAAAGUUUAAAUUAUUGGUAAUGAGACUUUUGGACAACUUCACUUGAAACUUCAAUACUUGAAAGCUGUGAAAAAUCUGGGAAAUGCUGUCAACUGUUUUUAGAUGCUUAGUUAAAAAAUAAUCACGAUCCUGGGAACGGGCUUAUUUAUCCCUGCUUCACUUCGCUUCUCUCCACUAAUGCCCUGUGUUGUGACUGGCAAUGGAAACCCACCCCAGGCUGCUGUGUGCACUUCUUCUGGGUCUUGCUCAGUACAGGACUUGCUUCUGGAAGUGCUGUCACACGUAACUGAAGCUUGUGGCUCUUAUAACUUACUCAGAGCGAGCCAACCUUGUGUUUUCCUCGUUGGGCUAAUGCCAUGCUAGUUUAAAAGCUGCAACGCUGAAAGGCAAACAAAGAAGAGGAUUAGACCAAACUAGUUCCAGAGCACACAUUGUACAUACUAAUGUCUCAUUGAAACAGGAGAAGGCUGAAAAAAAUACUGCCCAUGCUUUAAUGAGAAUACAAGCUUGCUUUCUGAAUCCCUGCCUCAUUUUGCCAAUCAGAUAGGGGGUAUUCUGCAUUGCUAAAGGAGCCAAGCUAAUGAGAUUAUGGUUUAUCACUUGGGAAAAUAAAACUGUACCACUGGAAGAAUACAAUUUAUGUAAGGAUUGUGCUAACCCAUCAGUAUGAUCACUUGACUCUUCCUGAGGUUGUUCAGGCGAAAGCACUGAGCCUGCAAAUGUUUCCACUUAGAUGACUCUGCAUCUCCAAGCAAUAAACCUUGAGCUGCUUUAUGUCCUGAAUUUCAUCUCUGCCAAGCAGUGGCCCAAGCAAAGAUAGCUUGGUGAGAAACAGAUGUACAAAUUUCAAAUCCAGUGUUUCAAAUGUGUUAUGUCGUAGAUCUCCUUGUAUUGACCUGUCUGGAUAGGCUGUGCCUGCUGUGUGACAGAAAAUGUGCGUUCUUUAGGAUUUUCCCCAGGUGGUGCCACCUAAUUGCGCCACACCAGCAGGAAGAGAUUAUCUGCAGAGGAGGAAAACCUCCGCAGGGGUCAUCUUGACUGUUGCUAUGCAUGUGUAUAAGAAGAAUUGCAGUGUACACUCGUGUUUCUCCACUUCUGCAGCCCUGGGAUCUCCCACCCUCCCGGCAGCGACUUCUCCACUAUGCAACAGCAGCACUGGGACUCUGAAAGGGGUUGAGGGAUAGGAAAUGCUUUUCAGCUCCGUGCCUGCUUCUGCCGUUACUGCUGAUUUAUGCGAUUUGCGGUGCUGAGCGAUGCGGCAGCUGCAGGGAGGAGGAGAUGAGAACCAGAAACCCCUCAGGCUUCCUAGAAAAUGUCUUCUCCAGUAACAAAUCUGGGAUGGAGAAAAGCCCACUCUGGUCCUGUGUGCGUGCUCCAGUACGUUGGGAAAGGACUGAACACACAGACAGUGCUCUCCAAAAGAUGUGGCUGCUUGUGGUCUAUCUCCUGGCAAACCUUUCCUGUGGACAAGAUGUAGACAAGACUCCAGAGCAAGGCUGGAGACCUUGAGAACAAACCUGUGGAGGCACAGGGCAUCCUUCAUGGUAUAGAACUCUUCUUGGGCAAAGGAAGGAAAACACAUCUCCUGUCUCCUUCAUAGGCGUGUUGGAAACUUGGUAGUAAGUUAAUAAUGAGUUAAACUAUAGGCUUUUUCUGCUUUCCUUGAGAAAAUGGCUGGCAGGGCUUCAGUGCAGAAGUUGAAGUUCAGAGUAAAGCAACCAAGAGCAGUUAGUGCCCUGCUGAUUUCUGGUUCCUCGGUUCCUGUGGUCUAUCAAUUUCUGGGGGGUAAAAAAAAAAGAGAGACGUGAAUUAAAAUGAAGGAAAUGUGCAAUUUUGCCCAAGCCUUGUGCUUGGGUGGCUGAGUCCCAUCUCUUCAUGUGAUGCCAUGAGGCAGAUAUGGCUCAUCCAUCACUCUGAGGCAUGUGUCCAAGCCUUCUAAUUAGUGAAUAUGACCAAGAGGUUUGGAGCUUAAACUGGUUCUGACCUGUAUUUUUUAAUUAAGGCAUUUUUUUAAUAUAACCCCUGCUUCAGGUCAUCUGAUAAUACUAAUCUGGACAUAAUGCCUAACCUUCUUAACCCUAGACUGUUACUUCUCCACUUUAAUGCCAGUCUUAAAGAAACAUUGCCCCAUAAAUUAGAUGCUGGGAACAGAACCAGCUGUGAAUUAAAGUGUUUCUAAGGAAUAAUUGGAUGGACCCUGAAGAUCCGCUCCCAGCUGACAUUCUUCUGCCUCUCAUAAAAGCACAAAAUGUUUAUGGUCCCUUUGUUAAUGCUGCUUGGCUCUCAUUUGGUCUGCUUGCCCAUUGGGUCAAAAGGGGGUCCCGUCUUCCCAUUGCCAGCCCUAUGCCUGGUAACAGCUCCAGCUGAGCAGGGGUGGUAUCUCCAUAUAGUCUUUGGGAUGGUUGUUUUCGGCUGGCUGAUGGCCACCUACUCCGCUUCUAUCUUGGAGAGCAGGGAUUUUUGAUAAGCUUAAGAACGCUGUGGAGGAGACCCUUGUUCCUAUCAGCAGGCGGAACAACUGAUGAAGUCAAGGGAUUAAUGAAAGAAAACCCAGCACUGUGCAGUUUUAUGAGAGACUUUUUAAUGGGUUUUUACUUAUCCUGUAUUGUUCUGCACGUAGCUAUAUCGUGCUGAGAAUCACAGGGAGAAAUGCUAAUUCGGUGUUUUUAUAUAGGGGAAACAGCAUGCUAAGUGCAUUCCUUAAGUCAGUCCAGAAACCGCCUCCUGCAAAAAUUCAUGAAAAGCACAUGUAAUGCCUUGUCAAGCUUGGCUCUUUUAUCUGGGAUAGUUAAAAUAUUUUCACUAGGGGGAAGAAAGGUUGCUGGGUGGUUUGUUUGUUUGACUGUUUCUGGAUAAAGAUCUUCUGAAGGUGGGAAAACACCGGUCUUGCAUCUGACAGGCAGGAAGGUGCAGCCCCUGGGCAUGGUUUGGGCUGUGAUUUCCUAGGGGAGCCAUCGUGGAGCCAAGGACAAAAUUUAUAUAGCCACAUUUUUUUUCUCACUUACUGAUUCUGGUAGCCACCUUAUAAGUAACUAGCAUGGCAUACCAGGAGAGUAAGGCGGAGAAAAAAACUUCCUCAUUAUCUCAAAUACAAUAAAAAGAAAUAGAGGAAUUGAAAGAAAAAAACAAUUUGACUGUAAGAGCCUCAAAACUCCAAAUCAUUCCCAGCAGUUCUCCAAAGUACAGUGUUUCAAACAUUCAUGGCUCAAUUUACCACCUAUUUGAUGGGGGAAGUGUUUACGACACAUUCUCUGCAUUCCUUUACCAGAAGUGCUGUAAAAUUGGACUGUUCCCCUCCUGAACCCCCCUGAAUGUGAUGCAGGGAAUGACUCACAUCUGGAAAAUUUACCUUACAGCUCAGCACUGAGCACUUCUUACAGCAACUUACCUAUAGGGAAAAUCAGACGUGGCCCUGUGCAUUGCUGCCCUGCAAACCUGGGUGUGCAAACGUGCCUUUGUAUACAUUGGGUUAGUUUGAGUCAUGGCAAUAACAGAAAUAGAAAUAUAUGGGCUAAUGUGGAGGCUCUAUAGACUCUACUGAGGGAGAACUGGUUAAAUCAACAUUAGAUCAUGCUGAAGGGCAUGUUUCCCCAUGGUCAUAAUUAUCUAUGCUUGGCAUGGCAAGAGUACGAAGGAGAAUUUUGAUAAUACAGUUGAUUAAGUUAUCUGGAGGCAUGGAGAAGGCUGGAAACGUGUUGAUCAGAUAAGGCAAAAGCACCAAACACAAAGUGUUAGUAACCUGGGCUCUAAGGACAUCCAGGGAAAGAUAGCAGAAAAGCGUGGUUGGUGUCGGUCCUUGAAUUACCACUUGAAGGUGGAAAGAUCUCAGAGGAAGAUGUUUGUAGGGGGGAGAGGGUUGCUUCUAGCUCCGUGGGGCACUUGGAAGAUGUCCCUAGAUGGCCCUGCACUGGUGGCCUCGCAAAUCUGCUGCCUGGAUCAGUCACUUGCACGUCACUGAGCUUUGGCUGUAGACGUGUCCUCAGCCAAGCAAGAGGAGACCCAGCCAGGUUCAGUGACUGUAAGAUGAAGUCAUAAAAUGGGUAUUAGAUUAAUGGCUUUAUAAGACAAGAGGGGUUUAACACUGGAAUAGAUGGCAAAUGGAUCUUGCACAUUUUUUCUCAGCUUUGUUUCAAGCUUAAUAUCCGUCAUGCGGUGGCAGAUUCCUCCUCAACCCUGAGUUAUUUGACUCGAUGGAGGAAUUUCUGGGUGAAAAGCACAACCCGCUCUAAUGCAGGAGGCCAGGCUGGGUGUUUUUAAUGAUUUCUUCCCGCUUUCAAAGCUUCUUAUCAAGUCUGUAUCUUUUUCCACAAGUUAGGAGCUGAGGGUGGAAUUCCAUACGAUUCACUGAUUAAUUCCACCUUAAUUCCUGCAGAACGCCUGAUUAUGAGGUCUUAAUUGGUGCAGAAAGAGGGAAUCUCUCCUUUCCCAAAUACCUUUGAGACAGUAGCUCCAAUUUCCCAUCAAACCUCCUACAACGCAGCAGUGCUAUAACUGUUCUUCCCAACUCAAGUGGAGUUGCUACCAUUUCUCCUGAUGAUAUACGAGGGUGUCAUGACUUGUUAUGUCACGUCAGAUGAUGCGGUGGGAUAAUAAGAGUUGAUGGGAUGUGGCAGCCGUCAUUUUGAAAUUGAAGAAAAAAAAGGUUCUCUGUGCACCGAAGAACACAUCUGGUUUGUGGCAUAAUUUAAAUUAACUUGAAGGAAUUUACUACAUCUCGGGUGUCUUCCAUGGUGACAUGAAACAUAGAAAUUCAGUCUUGGAAAGCUUUUAUGAAAGCUCAGCAGCCAGAGCGGUUUUAAAUUGCUUUUGCUUUUUUUUUGUGUGGGUGUGCUUUUUUUUUUUUUAACUGAGAAAUUCUGAUGGCAAUUUCCUACUCUUGACUGAUUCUAUCUAAUUUGUGCUUGCCCUGAUUGCAGUUUUAUACACAGGAAUUCCGGGGCUAUGUAUCUCUCUACCAAGGGGAGAGAUGUUUAGUUGUUCACCUUUCUCCUGGAUGAAAUGCCAGUCACCUAUGUUAAACCUCUCUGUUCAGAGUGAUGCUGGGGGACCAGAGAGCAGCCAUCCCUGCACUGUCUGGCUCCUCGCAUGGGAACACUCCAGUGUCCUUGGGACCCCCUGGGAAAUCCCCUCUAUGAACUCUCUGUGCUGGACUCGCACCCAGGGGACUGAGAUCCCAGGGCUGAUGUGUGCGGAUGGAACUUGGGACCCUCUGGAGAAAAGUGAGCGUCCUAUGGUGCAAACCAUAGCCAGGUGUGAUGUUUCUUCUGGGGAAUUAAAACUUAAAUCCCCAAGGAUGCAGCAGAGAGAUUAUUUUCAGGGUGAGGAAGCAUGAGGUGGUUGGUAUUUUCAAACCUGCUCCAGAUGACAGCUCAUCACUACAAAGCUUGAGAGAACAGGGGACUAGCGAGGUUCUAAAGCAAAGGGGUUUGCCCUCUGAAACUAACCCCUGGUGCUGGCCAAACACAUGGUUCCCCCAGCUGUCAACAGGCACUUUGCUGUUGGGAGCCAAAAUCAUUCUGAUCUGUCCCCUAUGUCAAGUGUUGCUAAAGAGCUCGCUAAGUACUUGUUUUGUUUCCUCUUAAUCUUAACUGAAGUUUAUCUCUUUUCCCUUAAACCUGGAGUAGAAGUUUUGAGCUUCUCUGACCUUUGUAGAGAUUGCAAAAUCCAACAAACCCUCCCCACAGGAACAUCUGGUGAAGAGGAAUCCUCACAGCUUGAUCAGGGGCAGUCCCCUCAGAGCGGCUUGCCCUCAUGGGUUGUUCGCUACAGGUAGCUGCAGAAAAUGGUCUUGUGGGUCUCAGGUUGGACCAUAACUCUGGAGAGAUGAAUUCUCUGUUAUGGGCCAGCUUGAUGAGCAGGAACAGUCACAUGACCUUCCGUGCCUCAGUUUCCCCAGUUGCGAAAAUGGCAGCAAUGAUGUUCUUUCUUAUGUGGUACUUCAAGACUCCUGAGGAAAGGCUGGGAGGUGCAGUCAUCCUCUGCCUCUGAGCUUUCAAGGGCCCUUGCAAUUCAGUUAAGCCAACAGCAGUACAAAAUGUGUGACUUCUUGUUGCAGUUAGUCUCAGAUUAUGGUACUACUCUGGAGACAUGGGCAUUGCUCGCUGGAAAUAUACCCCGACCUUAAUCCGGAAUACAUGUGGCUAGUAGGGCUGCCCCAAGGGAAGGGAGUUUGCCUGCAGUUUUGCCUGCAGGCCACCAGCUGCAGGGGCAACUCUGGGUGCUCACUAUGGGGCUGCCACUUCAAGGAGAGUGAUGGGGCUGAGCAAGGUGAGACUUCAUCCUAAUGGUGGGGUGGAGCUGGCUCAGGAGGGGAUAUAGGGCAGGAGUUGGGACAGCUGAAAGUCUGGGAAUGGGAAUAGCAAGGAAGGAGAAGGAGAGUUUUAUAGCUGUUUGUAUUAGUAUGGGGCUACUGAGAACAUCAGCUGAGCUUGCUUCUUGUUCUUCCCAUCUUGGCUAUGCUUGUCUCAGCUAGGCUGCACCUUGAUUUUUCCUGCUUAGGUUAAUAAGGACAAAGAAGGGAAAGACAGCAGUUACCUUCAUUAGAGGCGAAGCUAUGCUAAUUAUCUAAAAAAGCAAAUAUCCAUGGCUCAGGAGGCAUGCAGAAAGCCCCGACACAGUGGGGGUCAUCCUGUUUGUUGCCCAGACCAUGACGUGUCUGAUCAUCUGCCCAUAGGAAGGCUCUGUGUACACACACAAGGUAAGCUGGAGCUCAGCAUAGAAAGCAGGGAUAUCACUGUGUUAGGAGCCAUGGAUCUUUUAGAAAUGAGAGGAAUGUUUACAGUCCUAAAACUCAGAAGAAAAGAUGCCUUUCUGGAUUGGGCUCUGGUGCUAUCCAGGACCUAUUUCAGGAGGUGUUUGUCUGUUGCUCAGUAGUAGCAAAUGCAGUGGGGCUCCAGGUGUUUGGGCCAGGUGCUUUAAGAUCUUUAGCCUCAUAGAAGGGAGUGAUCACAGCAGGACAGUGGUGCUAUUUGCCAGAAAAGCUUUGGUGCUCCCGGAUCUUGAGCACUUGAGGGCACUUUUUGCCUCUGCUUCUGAGGAGCAGUGUGGUAGAAGUAGGUACAGGUAAAAUGGUAGAAGGUAGUUAGUGGCUGGAAAUGUUGGAUUUGCUCAGUCCGGAGAAGUAAAGAGGAGAAUUUGCAAAAUCACAAAGUCAGCAGGAAAGGCAGAUGUGGGCUUGUCCUUCACCAGCCCCUGUGUAUGGGUGCACCUGGUGAAACCAGAGGAAGCCAGGGAGGAGACACAACCGCUCCAACUGCUCUGAGAACAUUUUUCUUACUCUUUUUCUUCUUUAUUUUUGAAGUUAUUUCACCAUUUCUCACUCAUUUUGCCUCUCUCAGAAGUCAUGGCUGAUGCUUUGAAUACAGCUUAGCAAUUUCUUUUCAUGUGAAGCACUACAAGAGAGUGUCUUGUCUACAACCCCUUUGAGAAGACUUAUUUUAUGCUUAGCUGUCAUGCAUGUGCGUGCCAGAACCUGGAAGAGGAAUGGCUGUUGGAUUCCACAUUCCCUCCUGGUCCGGGACCGUUUGCAAGACUGUCUCCAUCACGAUCAUCAGAUAUCAGCUCUCUGGAACACGACCAGCCUACACUCCUGUGAGUCAGCAAACAUGGGAUGGAGCAGAACAAGACCAAGGAGCAAGGCAGGAGAAGCAGCAAGGAGAGGGAGCGUGGAGCUACAGAUGAGCAAGAACAAGUUGGCAAAAUUAUGGGAGUAAUUAAAACUUGCUCGGUUUGCAAAUGGGAAACGUUUUGCAGAACAAACGAGAAUAUUAACAGCAGUUACUGGAAGGAAAGCCAAGCAAACAAAGGAAACGCUUGUCUCCAAAACCAUCUUUCCAAUAGGAUGCAGAGCUCUGUGCUUGAUCUAGCCUCCAAGAAAGCCAUGGAAAGCUGCUGUGGUGUAGUUUGGUUGGGAAUUACGUUUCAGAAAGAGAAAACCGGGUUGGUUAUCAGCCCUUUUGUUCCAAUACACCACAAAGAGGUUCUGUGAGCAGGGUUCUCCCAAAGAAGCAGGUGAUGGAUAAGCCUGCAUCCUUGCUGAUGUGAAUUCCUGACCCAGUUUCCAUAGCAGACCUGCUCAGGAGUGCGAAAGAGCUGCUGGAGAUGGAGAAAAUGCCUUGCGGGCAGGCUGGCCCUUCGGUGCAUGUGAAGGAAGAAAAGUCAAAGUUUUUUCACUGAGUGGAAUUUCUUGGAAAGUGUGGAGUCGGAAACGUGGGAGCGACCUGAUUGAAGCAGGCCAUUUAGUUUCAGUCUAAACACCAGAGGAGAGAAAACAACAAGCAGAAAUACCAAAUCACAUGGUAGGAGCCAUUGCAUGAAGCAAUACGGAGGAUUUGUCCUAGUUGCUGAGGCUCAGCACCCCAUGGCAGAAGGAACACUUGGCAGAUCGAGAGGUUUAGUAAGGAGGAGAAAACCCAGCCUGCUAACAAAGGGGGUUUCAACUCUGACUUGGACCCUAGUCAGGAAAACAGAGCACAUUGUUUGUGAUGGCAGUCUCCACCAAAACGGCUCAUGGGACAAGUUAAGGAAAUUCAGUCUCUCUGAAGAUGAAAGCUUGCACCAGUUUUGAAGGACCUCAAAAAUCAGUUUCAAAACUGAUCUGGAAAACCCCCUUUGGAGCAGAUCUGUUUCCCGGCUUCCUUACUACAGUUAAUAAUCUGCACUUUGCUGGCUCUGAUCAUCUUAAAAUCUCAGGUAAUUUGAGAUACCCUGUUUUGUCGUGAGCCUGAAAUGGAAGUAGUCAGGCACUUCCCAUUAAAAUGAUUGCUGCUGGAAAAAUUCCAAUCAUAAUUUUCUGCCUGUAAAUGUUGUUUUUCCCUUUCUGUUUCAAAGAGGUUGGUAGUACAAAUGGCCUCUCAUCCUCAAACUGAACGUCACAGGGGCUGAAAGGCUGAAAAGCCCUUCUCUCAACAGUGAGAACAUCCUAUCUAGUUAGCAGGUAAAGCUAUUUUUGCCAUAUCCUUCAGACAACAUUGAAAAUCUAGUGCAGAAAAGACGUAAGACAGCAACAGGCAGAAAUCAGUGUCCCCAAAUCCAACCCGUGUUUGAUCUCAUUAGCUGUGAGGCUCUUGUGACUAUGGGUUUGAUGUCCCUGGGAGUUGUGGCCACAGUUUUGAUGGGCAGGGUCCUGGGAGGCUACUGUGAUGUCCUGCCCUGGAGAAACCAGCAGAGCCACCCCCAUGAGGUCCCCUCCAGCUCUGAGAUCAUCUGUUUCGCUGGCGUCCAAAGCUGACUCAGUGCUAACACGUGCUGCUUCUUGGCCUUAUUUAUUACUAUUGCAUGACAUCCAAAAUAAACAACGCCUGAGGUCCUUCUACCCCUUACCCCGCACAUGGCUUCAGCUGGGAGCUGUGGUUGUGCCGGGGGGGACCUGGACUCCCUGGGCUCCACAGAUGAUGAUAAAUCACCUGGCGUGGGCAAUGUCUUUCAGCCGAGCCCUAACCUGUUUAGUCUAAUGGGCAGAGUGAGCCGAAACGAAAGGCUGGUUGGCAGCUCUGGUUUAAACACUGUGGCUGAGGGGUCUCCUAUCCUUCUCCGCAAAUAAAUCACAGUUCAAAGGAGCUGGCGUUGCAGCAGCUGGAAUAUUGGACUGGAGGACGGUGUGUGUUUCCAACCCAUCCCUCGCACUUCUUAAAAUACAGAAGGGGAGCAGAGAAGCCCUCAGAAGUGGUCUCAGCCCUGGGUGGGUGUAGGGCAGGGCUCGUGUGAUGGCUGUGGGUGCAGGGAUAGGAAAAGUGUUGGAACCACAACCCCAGUUUGCUGGAUUUUGUGUCGCUAAUCUAUCCCAAAGGGCAGCUUAAUAGAUUUCAUUUACAACUUUUCCUGCCCUACAUAAUCUCUGAGAAGUGCCACUUUCAGUUUGUAUAUCUUUCACCGACAUGUAUAUUUAGCACUCAUUAACCACUUACCUUGGGCUAAUAAUUCAACUUUUGUUCCAAACCCCAAAUUUCCUCAUUUCUGUGAGUUCUUGGAGCCAAAGAGAACAUUUCUGACAGAUUCAUUUCAACUUUGUCUGAAGGUUCUCUGUAGCCUUUUAGUUUAUUUAAACAAUAUUUUCUGUGUGUUUUUUUUUUUUUUUUCAGAUUAUUCAUAGUGAAACCAUCUCAUUGCUUAAAACCUGUGCAUGAUUCUUACUCAUUUCAGGUAAAAGCAAUUCAGAACACUUGUCGCUUUUUAUAAUGAAAAACAAAAAAACUUUGCUUCUAGGUACUUUAGCCAAGCUGACUGCAAUUAACAUUGCUGUUUCCAUCCAAAUUCUUCCUUGCUCUGAUUUUUAGGUACUUUCAUUGUUUUGUUCUAGAUUCAAUAGCCUGAUGAUUUAUUUUCCAUCUAUUUAACCUUCGUCAGCGCAUAAACUCCCACAACUGACAGGACCUGGAGUGCGUUAGUCCUUGCACAGUAUCUUAUUUUGUUGUUGUUUUAACUUGAGCACACUUAAGCACAUGCUUAAAUCUGACUUUAGUGUGAUCUAAGCUUCUGUGUCAAAUAAGCACAGGCAGGAUUAGGGCUGUUUCCUGAAAAAGCACCUUGGGCAGGAGAGGUUAUGAGUGUGGUGCAGUUGUGGUGGGGAAUGCCCAAGUGUCUUGUGUUCAGCUCUGCUUUGCCAUUAUUUCCUGCCACACAGAAACUAAAAUUGAUGCAAUGAGUCAAAGCAAAUGCAGACAGAACCACGGGGUUUUUUUCCCCCAUAAAGGGAAACUGAACUCCAAUACAACCACAGCGAAACAACCAAGUUUGCAGCUGAACCCAAACCAGAACCAACCUUUGAAGUGCAGUAGUUAAAAGUUUAAAUUGCUUUGCAGUGCCGAGAUCUGGUACAGUCCCCAGAUCUGCUUGGAUGGGGAGAUGCAGGGUUCAUGACAUGUGAGGUCACCAUGAGGGGAGAUGGCAUUUCCCCUUCUUGGCUGCUGGGCAGGUGUCACCAGGCCAUUUGGGCAGAAACCUGCCUGGUUCUGUCAAAGGUUCAUCAUCCUACCUUGCGGGAAUGUUUUCAUUUCAGAAGAUCAGCAGAUUCCUCCAAGAAGUGCUUUGCUGUUGGGUUCAGCAGUUGUUUUUUCAUUGUUGUUGUUCAUGUUUUGUUUUUUAAUUAUGAUUAUUAUUUCCGCAGUAGAAAGAGGGAUAUUGCACAUGAAUGAGAAAACUUGUGUGGACUGCAGGAAAACAAUAAGCAGCCGGGGCUGAGUAGGAAGUGGAUGGAAACCCAACCCAGAAAAAUGAGAAGUGUUCAGCCUUGGCUUGACUCUGUGCCCAGUGAGGCUGAUAGCUGGGCUGUCACUGAUUGCAGCAGGCUUAGGCCAGUCCUGGAUGCUUCUGAGAAACCCAGUCCUAGAGCAAUGCAGGGCUUAUUCAAGCCCUUUCCCCCACCACACUUUUUUUUUUUUUCCAUUAAACCUCAUUUUUUUUCCAGGCAAAUUCCACCUGUAUGUCACACAACCCCCAUUUUAAAUAGCUGUGCCUGUGCCUCCAACUAAGGUCUUCCCAUUUAAUCCAAAGGUUUUGUCCUCCUUUCCCAGGAGCUCAGUGGCAGACAAGAACACCUUAAAGGCAUGGCCUGAAGAUAUUUUAAAAUUCCUCAGAUGCAAUAAAAAUAACAAAAAUAUUGAUUUUAUUUUUUCUUGUCUAUGCUGUGAUGGAACAAAAAAUAGUGUCGGACCAAGCAAAGAAGGAGGGAAGAUUUCUCCAUCCCUCUGGUUUAGUUUAUUGGCUUGGGCAGAGCCAGCACAAGGGAGGGGAAGAUUGGGAAGCAAAUCUCCCCCAUUUCUGGGACUGGAGACACUUGGAGUCAGCAUGCUGGGCUGUUCCGCUCCAGCUUCUGCUGCGAAGCUCAUCCCCCAGGCUGCACGAACAUCACUGCCAUGGGGAUCCCGUCUGAGGAGCGUGUGUUCCAGUUGUGUCGUGCUAAUUUGUGGUUUUCAGGAGAAAGUGUUGGAAAAAAGAGCAGCAGCAUGAAUCCAAGCCAAAAUUGCUAAUUUUGGCUGGUCUUCCUUUUUCUGGAUUCCAAUUGCUGUUACAUGUUUGGUAUUUAUAUUUUAAAAACAGGGAAACUUGGUAAUAAGAAAAAGCUAAAUUAGAUUAUGAAGGUUUCCAUUCACUACUAGGACUGAGUAUAAUUGAGUUUUGCAUAGCUCUGCAAGACCAGGAUGUCCCCCUCUGCCUUGCUUUUUCUCUGAGACUGAAUUAUGUUUCAUAGUGAUACUAGAUUGAAGAGGGCAAUAUCGGGCAACUCAAAAUUUGAGUUUAGUCAGAUUAAGCCUAAGUCUAGUUUCAUGUUUUGCAUGUUCAAAACCAGCCUCUACCCAAGGUCAGCUGCUUCCUUGUAAGAGAACACCCAGCAUUUUUAAAGUCAUCUUACAUUGACAUGGGGCAGGAAAAUAUUUUUCUGGUUGUUUUGUGCUCAUACUGCCCCUAUUGGAUAUAACAAUAGAAAUCCUUGUAUACUUUGAGGUGUUUAUGCGAGUUGGGGAAUUCAUUCUCAACCCAUCUAUUUUUGGGGAUAUAAGUUACUGAUUUUGGUGCAGACUCAGAGGCAAAGCUUCUAAUGCAAGGAGCAUGGGCUGCUGGAUGGAUGUCCCAGGUGAUGGGCACCUUGGCCAAGUCGUGGUGGGUAGAAGUCUAUGGUGUGGUGCCUGGUGGUGUGGUGCAGGUGAUGAGACACAAGCUGUGCUGCAAAAACAGCUGAGUGCAGCGUUUGCUGGACCUGAGGUGAAGGCUGCAUCUGCUCAUUGAAAACAGAUUUAAGAAACAGAUGAAGGAUGCAGUGCAAUGGCAGGAAUAUCAAAUCUGUUUGCUCAGGGAAGGGUCAUUUUCCAUAACACCUGCCUGUUAUUGUCUUCUGCUCAGCGUGGAGUCCUUUUACAACCUUGCGUUUAGGGAGUUUGGCUGGGCUGCCAAAAAAAACAGAGGGAAUCACUCUUUUAUGAGCCAUCCCUUCCUCCCUUUUAUGUUGUUAGGAAUUUCCCCGUGUGUCUCUCUUUCACAAAUUCCUUUUAAUUAUAUUGCAUCCAAGAGAAAGUAAUCCAUCCCAGUUUGGCUUCUCUGACGCUAGCAAAUAGAGUUCCUGGUCUCCUCUCUUUCGUCUUUUUUUUAGGGUUUCCAGUACAUCAGCCCAAUGGCCUGCAGAAGAAAAAUGAUCUCAUGCGAGAACCAAUUAUCACGGCUGCCCGUUCUGGCUGGGGGGAAAUGUUUACCUUGAAUUCCACUUAGUCGUGGGGUUUCGAUUAGGAAGCAGCAGCACAUCUGCUGAACACACGCAUGACAAGGUAGGUGAAGUGUUAUUGCACCCAGCCUGGGCUACAGACUAUCUUCACAGCUUGGGCAGCAGAGACGAGGGUCUACGGGUGAGAUAAGGGGUCAACGCAGCAGUGGCUUGGAGGUGUAAUCCUGGCAUCUCCACGCUGUGCUGCUGCUGUGCCUGGGAUUGCAGUAAACACACAGCCGAGGAAAGCAAGAAGUGGUUGAAUGCUUUCCAAGGGAAUGAUUUUUUUUUCACCCCUGUGGUAAGCUAUCCUUUGUCAAAAUGAAAACUUUCCAGGAGAAAAAUGUAAAAUCAGCUCACAAAGAUUUUGGUUGAUUCUUUCAUUUGUUUGUUUCCAAAUGUCUUUUUAAUGAAGUUGUAGAACCAUAUGAGAUUUUUUUAAAAAUAAAACAGAAUGGAAACAAGAUGUAUCCCUUUUGCCAUUAAAAACAGAGUGGGAAAAGAAGAUUAUACAGCCCAUUCCCUUGCUCCUUCAUGGGAUCAAAUAUUCUCAGGCUAUGGAUAAAACAUCAAGAAAUGUUGACAUUCCUUUUGCUUUGCUUUCAUCUGCUCUCCCAAACUGCAAUUUCCCUUUUCACAUCACUUUGCUACUGCAAGUUACAUGCCCUCAGGUCCUCUGGAUUUUAGCUGACCUGAAUUAGAAAUGCACAAUUAUAAAUCUGCCUUGGAGUGUCUCAUCCCACACGACAGCCCCAGCAUGAAGUGUUCUCUGGUGGUUUUGCCCUGGUCCCUGUUCCAGGCUCCAGCUCUGCUCCGGUCCUGAUCCCACACAAGAUCUUGCCACAACCUUCCCAUGGCAUCUUCAUCACCCACUUUCUAACCAGGGUUUUGCCAGUCGACCUAGGAAGUAAUUCAUAGCAAUGCUGGAGAAACUCUUAUAUCUAUUAGAUUUUUAAACCAAACCCACACUGCAACUACUAUUGGAUCUGACCUAAAAAUAGCAAUCUAAUGAAAUCCAAACGUUUUGAGAGAAUGUAUCAAUUUCACCUGCAGUUUCAACAGGACAUUAUGGAAAUGUUUCCAUCCCGUUGAGUCAAAACAUUUAAUUUUGACCACUGCAUUGGCUGUUUUUCUAUCAGGGCUAUAAUAUGCAGAGCAGUUGAUGCUUAGAUUUCUAUCCGACAUUUUUUAGUGUAAAAGUCAAACCAAGCCAAACAUUUCAGCUUCUUUUGUAAUUUGCUCUCAUUUGUAUUUGGAAAAAAGAGUCACGUAUUCGUAUGCUUGCUUCCCACAAGACAAAUACUUUUGAGAGUGCCUUUUCCUAACUUUGAUGCUCAAAAGUGUCAAGGAAAUCUGAGUCACUUGCCUGCUUUGAAGUGUAAAGAAUAAAUGGGCUUCUCAACCCCUUGGGCUGUCUCAAAAUCCCAGCCAGAGGCCUCUAUUAAUAACCUGACGAGCUAUUGUAUGACACUGUCUUAUCCCCAUCUCACAGAUGGGAACGCAGCGUGGUAGCCAGUUCUCCAAGGUCACCCAGCAGCAGAGUCACGGCCAGAGCCCAUUCCUUCUUCCGCUGCCCAUUGACCUACUUGAAGCAGAGAAAAUGCAUCAUCCUCUUACACAACUUGCUAUUAACAUUUAGCAGAAAACUGGGGAUUUUCUCAUGGAAAUUUCCACGGGAAACCCUCACUUUCCUGGUCAGAAAUGUCUGUCUUGGGACAUCCUGCUGUUUCUGUAAGGAAGUUUGAAAAUGCAGGGAAGUGAGGUUUACCUUCCAGUUCUUCUCCCCCACAUUUCCCUGGUUGGAGAAGAAAUCUCUACAAGGAGAGGUAACCAUGCAACCAAAGUGAUUGGACAAUAGAUGGUUUCUACAAAAAUAUGAGCCACGGCUACAAGACUCACAGGCUGGCAGCACUGACUCUUGCUAGCUGUGCCAAGGGAGUGCUAGUAAAAUCUUCAGGCUACACCCAGUUUUCAUGUGUUGUUGCAAUUGCCAUGGCAUGUCCUGCAAAACUUCAUGGUUUGGGAAUUACAAAAAGCCCAACAAAGUGAUUCUUUCAAAACCCCCUGCCUGAGAAGUCUGGUGGAUUAGCCUUUGCAGACCCAGCCAGCAAAGUCUCAGAGGGAUGAUGAAGAAAUCAUUAUAAUGCUUGAGGAACAGAGAGCCCAAAGCCCUUUCUGAUCCGUCACUAUCAGAAGAUUCAGGUCUGAUUUUUCUCUGCCAGCUGUUGGAAGAUGCAAGUCUGCAACGUGGUGGUGAGCGCUACUUGACUCGUAGGGAAGAUGGGAAGGAGAUGACUUGGGGAUUUCUGGUUUUGCCUUUUGAGCAGCUGCUUGGGGUGUGCAGUGUUGGAAAGAGCAGCAAAAUAGGAUCAACCUGUUAACGAUCAAAGCCUGUUGUGGCUGCAUGUUUGAUCACACUAACCUAACACAGGGGUGGUGCCGACUCACAGCCUCUCUGCAGAACUGGCCAAUGCAAAGACCAUGAGUCAAGAGAGCUGUAGGGGAGGACAGGUGUUGAGGGAAAAGGUGGAAGCUGGAUAGAGAGCCGAAGGGGAAGUCUGGCUUUUCAGAGCACUAGGACAGCCUCAUGGCUGUUCGAUUGUUAUUUAUUAAAGGAAGAUAUAUAAUUAUUCCAGUGUGUGCAUUUCACAAUGACAGUAGAUGCAACAAAUCCAGUGGGUCAGCAACGCUGGUGUGACCAUGGCUUCUGAGCAUGAUGGGACUCCAUGAACAUGCUUCAUCUCUCCAGCUGACUGGCUUCUUGGUGGCCAUGAAAGGACUUUGCUUUCUGAAGCAGAAUGCAGUGUUAAAAAGCACCAAAAAGACAAUUGUGAGUAUGCUUGAGCACAAAACUGCCAAGCAAGCCCCUGGGAGACUGGUGAUAGCUGUCCUGUAGAAACCCCAGCAUGAGCAGGGCUCUUAGGUGUCUGACCCAGCAAACCCCAUCGCAGCAGCAAGGGGAGAGGUGGCAGCACCUCACCCAGGUGCUCUGCAUGAAGGCAGGGCUGGGCAGAGCUGAUCUGGCAGCUGCAGCUGCCCAUGAAAGCCUGGCUGGGCAGGCAGGCUGGCUGCUUGCAGGAGCCAACAAGCAACGAUGGAUGGACAGACAGAUGCAACUAGGUAGGUAGAGUGAGCUUGAAGCACUAAUUUUCUACUGGAUUUUCUCCCACUUGCUUUACCAAAAAAUACUAGACAGCCCUGAGCUGGGGCUUGCCCAGAUGAGGUUAUUUUUCCACUGACAGAGCUUUUGAGGACUUUACAAUACAUGCUUAGGGUGAUGGGACUCCUGGGAGUGGCUGGUGGUUAUUUAAUAUAUAGAGUGCAUAAUGCUUGUUAGUAUGGAGCAGGCAGCCUGUGCGGUGGGCUAGGAGUUAGUGAGGUUUCCUUUGCCAUGAAUGGAAAAACCUGCUCUUAAUGCAAACUGCUCUCUGAGCAAAUGCUGUUAAUGGAGCAGUCAUUUCCAGAGGGUGUGAAGGAUUUCUGUCUGUUGCAUUAGGGAUAUUAACUAGAAGGGACAGCACUUUUUCUGUGUUUUAGAGAGUUAAACAUGAGUGACUGAUGGGUUAUAUUCUGACUUGAGCUUGGUUUCACAGAGGGUGAUAGGGAGACAAGUGGCAAUUAGAGUAGGCAUGUUACCUUAUAUUGGUUCCGGGCACCUAAGCGUGCUCCCUGGGCUACAAAUCAGUGUAACGUAUUUUCCUCACCAAAAGUAGACACCUCUUUGUUAUGAUGGUAGCUAAUCCAGGCCAAUCAUAUAAAUAGAGUCCCACAGGGGAAUGCUCAUUCCAGGGUAGGAAUAGAGUUUUAUUUUAAACUCCACCAAACUGAGAUCAUCUGCAUGAAAAUAGGUAUUUGUAUACCAGAGUGGAAGUGCCGUGUGGGAAGUUACAGCAGUACAUCCAGAGGACCAAGAACUCACGUCCUAGAUCAGUUCUGUGAUCUAUAAAAAUAUUUAGCUAAUCCAUAGAGACAAGUACACAGAGAUGACAUCCCAUCCACUCUGUGUACAUUGAAUGAGGCUACUUGUGUUUGAAAUAGUGUCUUAUGGCUCCUCUUCUUGUUACUCAUUUUUAAAUAACAGUAAUUUCCUACUUGGCAGGCUGUGGCCCUGUUGGACCAGUGUGUGAUUCCUAUAGUGUUGCUAUCAGCUGAUUUAGAUAGUUUUCUCAAGACUGUGGGUCUGUUUAAACAUAAUAAAACAGUCUCUAUCCCAGCACUCCCAUAGUGUCUGGCUUUUUGCAUCACAUCUUGACAUUCUGUAUCAUUUAGCAAUUAGGAAAUUGGGAGGCUCAAGUUUAAUGGGCUCCUUUGUAUCCCCAGGCUGCAGCAGUGAAGGACUUGCAAACCUUGCUAAAUAUCCCCUAUACAUCAGAUUCCUGGGAUAUACUAUGUCUGUCCUAAGUCACAAGGACCCCAAGUAAACAGAACUACACAAAUUAUCAUGGAAAAUGAAGCUAACCCAAAUAACAGUUCAGUAAUUGCACCACAGCAAAAUUUUUGCCAAUUCUGGUUAAUGCUGAAUGGAUGAAACUUAGCAUCUCAGUUCAACUUCACAAGCUGCAGGGCUUUCAGCCCAGGAAAACUGAAUUGAAAUGAAAUAUUGCUUGGCAUGUGGGUUUUUUUGUUGUUUGCUCCCAAGAGAAAAUGGAUUCUCCAAAAUGGUUUCCUGCAGAAAAUUAAAGGUUUUCAGAAAUUACAUUUGCGUGUCCCAAAGAGCUAUUUCAGAGGAGAACUCCCAGGCAGCUCUGAAACUCAGUUAUUUAGGGGUGAGUCUAUGUAGAGAUGUCAGCGAUGCAGCCAACUAUUAGCUAAGUUAGCUGCAGAAUUUGAUCUCUUACAUAUUUCUCUUUAAUAGAAACAGAGCCCUCGACAGACAUGGUGGUUAUUUAUGUUCCAGAUAAAUCCCUGACCUCGGUUUGGGGAAAACCUUCAUUGCUCCCUUACGCCCAAGGAAUGAUUUCUUUAAUACAAUGGUCUCUUCAUCUAGUAACUACCAUAAAAUAAUAUGUUGAGGUGGCACAGGCUGUAUCCAGGUCUUAUGAGCCCUCUUCUUGAUGUGCUGUGGUACAUGGACCUAAAUCGUGGCUGUUUGGGCACAGCGUGGGGCAGCAUGUGGACACUCACCCACCCAUGCGGUUCAGGCUGCUCGUCUGCCCCUGCACCGCCUCUCCUUGAAUUCCCCAGCGAUGACCUUACUGCAGCUAUUUCCAUGCCUGUAAAUCACCUUGCCUGCAUGAGGCGAUGCUGUUAAUUAUGUCACGUGAAGACAAAUUUACAGUGUGGAACAACAGUAAAAAAUAUUCCUACUUGAAGUAAUGUGAGAUCUGCACUCAUUGGGCUGUCCGUAAAUCACAGCCAGCCCCAUGCACCGGGCUGAUGGGCUCUUCCCACCCACCAGCAAAGGUUGUGGUUAUUGGUGCUGAUGGGCCAAAAGUGAGUGCUCAGAGCCUGAAAACUAACUUGCAUCACUCCAAGUGGAUGAAAAAAGCCUGUUUGUAGAUGCUCAAGUGCUGAGUGACCUGAUUUUCUAUGGUGGUGCUGUAGUUUCUGGUGGAAAAAAAAGAUCUUCUACUAGCAUCUGAAAACAUUACUUAUCCAGGAGGGAAUUUUUCCAGGAUGCAUUGCCUGGGGAUGGAGCAUUGACUUAGGUCAGGGGUGUCCAACUCAUGUGACUACUCCUACAUUUAUACAGUCCUAAAAUUACACUCGGCCCUUUGAAGGCAACUGCAAGACUGAUGUCACCCCCGGUGAAAAUGAGUUUGGCACCCCUGACUGAGGUGCAUGGUGGUCUUCAUCUCACUGUCCAUGUUCCUCUGCUCCUCCAGGUUUUCAUCUGUCUUUAGUCAUCUCUUGUCUGGAGAGGAACACGACAAGUGAUGGUGCCACAGCUCGGACACCUGGGGGUCACUCCGUAGCUCGAGGACAGAGCCCUCCCUUUUUGGGGGUGACCUAGAAAGCUCAAAGGGGAAAUGAGAGACAUGUGGUAAUGCUGGGGUUUGCUUAACGGAGUCAGCGGCUGUGAUCAGACCUGUAAUUUUCCGAAGAUCAAAGGCACAGUUGACAGCAGCUGUUUAACACUGAGCUGGAGUAUUUCAGCAUGCGUUUCCCGUACCAGUCUCAUUUCUUUCCAAAGAACAGGUAGACUGACCUGACAUAUCUCCUAGGGCAUCACCAGAGCUGGGCUGGAUUAUCACUGUCCCAAACUGGUGGCUUUUCCCUCCCUGUUCCUACCACUGUUGACCUUUGCAGUUCAGCUAGAAGAAAAACCAAAGCAAAGUUUCCAGGUCGUGGAAUGUCAGCCAAAUGCAGGGACAUCCUUGUGGGGCAUGUCCAAUACCUUUGCCCCAAGGAAGAAGAUCUAAGUUCAGCUGCCCAGUAGCUUUUUGUGUCUAAGAGACACUCGGUGUGGGCUCCCAUGCUGAAAUUUGGGAACAUUGUCAGCCCUUUCAGUAAAAAUCUUUUGCAAUCAGUGCUCUUGGUAAGCAUUAAGUCUGGGUUGAGUGCCAGGGAGAUGCUGUUAGAGUAAAACGAACAGUUCAUGAAUGAUUGGUUUAAACAACAAGUAAGUGAAAUGCCCACAUUGGCAUACAGUCAUUUUUCCAUUUUCUGGCUUUCCAGUCGCAUCCAAGUCUGUUGCUGUGUAAAUCCACUGAGCAAAUGUCUCUGGUGACUGCCCACUUGCUCACUGUGUGGCAUCCCAGAGUCUGGACAUCCAUCCAGAUGCCUCCAUCUCCCUUUCAGGUCCAGCUCUGCUGGCUAAUCCCUCUAUGUGGAUUUACAGUGCAAAGUAAGCAUCCCUCACAAAAACUUAAGGCAAUGCAUCUCUUGGCUGCAUUCAGUGUAGCUCCAUGUUUUUCUUGGAAUGGGAAAGAGCAUCCACAACACCCACAGAGAGCACAACAGCCAGCAAAGUCAUGCCAGAAAGGGCUAAUCCUUUUUCUCUCUUUCUUCAUCUCGCUGAGAAAUGGUGGCAGUGCUUAGUAACAUGGGCUUCCUUCCACCGCCCUCUUAAUAAAAUUAUGGUUUUGACUCUGUUGACUUUCAGCACAAGAGUUUCAUUGCUUUUUCCAGGUGACAAAAGAAAGCUGGUUCUGCUUCAGAGAUGCUAUCUGCCUUACCGUACUGUGCUGCUGGGUGGGCACUCUUUUGGCCAAGUGCUGUGCCCUUGCUGCAGAAUUGGGGAAGGUGUCAGGGCCACGGGGCAGUGGGGACAGGCAGAGCACCACCACUGUAAGGUCAAAGGAGCUCAAAGGACUUGCCUGGAUGCAGCAAUUGAUCCUGGGUCCACUUUGUAGGUGGAAACCUUUGGCUUUGGAGGUCUUACAUGGCUUUCACAAGGUAGGGCAAAUCUAGAAUGUGGUCAUGGUCCUUGCCACCAUGGUAAAACUUGACCUGACAGCCCGAGGGCAGCCAGGCAAAUCCCUGGAGCCAUGCUUGGUGCUUUCAUGGCAGCUGUUGAAUAUUCAGGCUCCAAAAUCCUCUGGGUGCUGUGGGCAUCCCCUCUUUGCCGUGAACACACACGGUGCCCCCAAGCAUGGUCCCGCAAGUGGUGGGAUGACCUGGCAUGUCCUGAGUCCCCAUGCACACCCCAUCUCAUUGCUUUGCCAGGCUGCAGCAUCCCUGAAAUUGGGUGUGCUAGGCAUCAGCGUGGCCACAGUGGGCUCAUGUGGCUGUUUCCCUUCUUGUGCUCAUUCCCAUGGCUGAUGAGACAGCCCCAGUUAAAAUUACCCUGGUAUAAUGCCUCGGGGCUUUUGUUUUUUUGACACUGCAUAUGGAAGGCAGCUGUCAAUUAGCAGCUGAAAAAAUAGCCUGCAGUGCUAAUGAGAGCAAAUCUAAUAGAGACCUCUUCCAAAUUGUUUCCAUCCAUUUUUCAGGGCUUUUAAUUGCUGUCAUAUUAGACUGAUGCCAGAAGGAAAACACGGGGGGAGAAGCCCCAUUUGGAGAUAGAUUCCUCUUUGCCAGGACUGACUCAGAGGCAGCUUUCUUCCCUAAAUUUCGUUUACAGGAGUUUCUAGGUAGUUUCCAAAGUUAUAUUUGGAGCUGGGUCCCUGCCAGCUCCUGCAGCCCCUUUUUCCCCACAGUGAGGAUGGGACUGGGAUGUUAUACCAGCUGCCACAGCCAGAUCGAAGGCUGGGGACAGAUGCUGUCUCCCACCCACUCGCAAUGCUUGAUUUUUUACUUUUUUUUUCUUUUUUUAAGGAAUGUAGUCAGAAAGGGAAUAUUAUGUACUGAAACAGCAAUGGUAAAAUACUUAGCAUUUCUAAAUUCUUUCUGAAGAAAAAGCUUCAAAAUAGUUCUGUUGGUAAAGGCAGCUCUGGAUCCCCAGUGCAGGCAGAAAGUGAGAGGAAAACAAGGCAAUGAAUCAAACACAGAGAGGGCAGCAAGAACAAGAAAACAAAGUGAUUUAUUAAACUAUUAUAUAUAGACAGAGACACUUGCCUUUAAUCCUGGCAUGUAUUUACACGUAUCCAACUAUCCAUUUCUAGCAGUGGAUGUAUUUACCUGAGGGGCUUUUCUGAGGCUUCCUCUUUGAAAUGAGGGUGAAUAGCUGCUGUCGCAUGGCUACAGCUGCUUUUUUUUUUUGCAGUGGGAUUUGUGCUCCUUGCAUGAUAUGGGCAGCCUAAGAUGUAGUAUGUCACUCAGCAUUCAUUUUCUUCCUCUCCAAAGCUUGUGGCUUUGUAAGUAUUGUCAUCUAUCUGCUUGUCUGCUUACAUUGCCAUCUGGGUUCAAAGGUGUCCAUCAUCUGAAGAUCUGCUCCUGCAGUGUCUGACCUUGUGUGGUUCUUUGCUUCUGAAUCUGAGCUGUGGUGGAUGCGCUUUGUACAGCCCAUAGCUAAUAUUCAUGCAAAAGCUGCAGGACUGUGGAGAGCAGGAGAACACAUGCACUUGAAGGUGCUCAAGAAUGAAGGAUUAAAAGCAUGUGCUACAUGGAGAUAAGGGGUUGUACUCACUUCUGGUGUUACCCUGGGGCAGGCUGUUGGAGAUGUUUGAUUUGGUAAAUAGACUGAUUGAAACACAAAUAAUACAGGGGUUGUCAGAGAAGGCAUCUGGCUGGCCUGUUGGGAUGAUAUCUGCUCUUUGUUAUUAAUCUUUUUCAUAGUUAAUAAGGUAGACGAGGGUUUGUACAAGCAUAUUUGAGGAGAGAACCAGAGGUUCCUCUGGAUGAAGGUGGCAUCAGCCAUAUGCGCAGGGUUUAUAAGUACGAGCCACUAUAAAAUUGUGGUUCAAAAAGGUAGAUUUUGCAAAAGUUUGGGCUAAGGGUAAGCCACUCCAGCAUGUCCUAACACAGACAUUAAAAGCACAGAAAAAAUUACCUAGGAGGCUUGUGACAGCAACCACAAGACCAGGGUGCACCAGGGUGGCCCCGGCACUGGGAGCUUCCUGCUGCUGGUGGCGGAUAAGGAAGCCCCAAGCAAAUGAAUGCAUCUCUGUGCCAAUGCCACAAGUGCAAUGCCUCUGCAAGGUCUCAGCCAACCCUGGAAUCCACUACAAGCCCCAGGGAUGCAGCAACCAGUAAAGGGGUUUCCCAGGCUGGAUGGUGUAAAUCACUCUGCAGGAAGGGAGGGGAUUCAGUUUCCCCAUGUGCUGGAGCCUGCUGGGAUCAAGUUACAUUAAUUAAAGUCCAAUGCAUGAUUUUAAUCUGCAGGCCAGUGCACGUUGGUGCCAGGGGCUAGAAUCCCAUGUAGGGGAGGCUGCUUCCAUGAAUUUCCCAGCAUGGCACUUGUGGGGCUGUUUAUUUCCAGGGACAUGGGGCCAAGCCCCUGCAAGUGGCUGCUCAGGGUACUGGAAUUGGUGCCAGUGGCAAGAACAUGAGUGAUGGGUCUAAGAUGGAUCAGCCUUGGAGCAAUGGGGCAGCGCAUCUUUCCAAGGCUUUCUUAGCAAAAAAAAAAAAAAAAAAAAAAAAAAGAAAAGGUAUUUCUUCCCGGCUUUGCCAUGGUUCUUGGCCCAUCUUGUGUUUCACCAGCAUGGCUUAAAUAGGGGCUAAUGCACCAAGUGUGCCUUUAAUAACCUUGGGACAGUAGCAGCUUAGAAAAACAAACAUUCCCCAGCUGCACCGAUCUGGAAACAAGCCUGCACAGCCGCUUCGCAUGCUGGCCCCUCUCCGGACCUGCCUUGUGAAUCUGGGCCACGUUGGGACAAGCCAGGGAUGACCCUGACGCAGGGAACAUGCUGUUCAGGAAACACUGGAUCCUGCCUUGGGGACUGUGGGAGAGCAGAGGGUCAGUGGUUUUGUCUCAGCACACCUGCUCUGGAGCCAGCACAGAGAGCUGCUCAGCACAGCUGAGGGUCAGGCUGGGAAGCCCCGGACACCUGGCCUGAGGAUGGAUCUUUGCCUGGCUGCUGUCAGACAUACUUGCUAUGGGAGAAGAAGCUCAACAGCAAAGGGAGAAUGGAGGAGAAACCCAGAGGAGGUCCCCAUUUGUGUACCUGAUGCUCUCCAGGAUCACCUUAAGUACAUUUACCUCCUCCUCUGCCCUUUCUGGAAACUCUUCUAAUGUUUGGACACUGAUGACUCUCAGUGCAAGUGUGAAACAUCCCAGCUGGAACUCUUGCCUUCACGUAAUAUAAAGCUGCAGCAUGGUGGCUGGUUGCUUCACUUAUAAGUCCUUGAGACAUGAAGCCCUUUUUUCCCCCCAAAUUCAUGGAAUAUCAAAUGCUUGGACACCAUGUACAAGGCAGGGAGGACCUGGAUCAUUUCCCCUAUCCAUCCAUCCAUCCAUCCCUUCAUCCCUCCUGCUUCCCUGGACCGUGUUUACCCAGACCAUCUGUGAGGUCAUGAACCUCCAACACCACUGCAAGCCCACGUGCAGGGACAGAGUGGUCCGAGCACCAAGCCAGCCAUCUGUUUCAUUAAAUGCCACGUGUGCUCUCUGUUUUUAAAAAAAGAACAGGGCAAAACAACCCCCUUGUGAGAUAAUGGCUUGCAAAGUUCUACAGAGUCAGCUUCUUCACUGCAGUGUGUCUGAUGACUGAGCCUG